This 201-nucleotide ribosomal RNA is filed under the name Photobacterium angustum S14. RNAcentral's name for it is "partial 16S ribosomal RNA". It matches the Rfam family "Bacterial small subunit ribosomal RNA", at positions 1336 to 1533 of the family's 1533-position model. Lineage: Bacteria; Pseudomonadati; Pseudomonadota; Gammaproteobacteria; Vibrionales; Vibrionaceae. The record is from RNAcentral.
UAGUAUCGUGAUCAGAAUGUCACGGUGAAUACGUUCCCGGGCCUUGUACACACCGCCCGUCACACCAUGGGAGUGGGCUGCACCAGAAGUAGAUAGCUUAACCUUCGGGAGGGCGUUUACCACGGUGUGGUUCAUGACUGGGGUGAAGUCGUAACAAGGUAGCCCUAGGGGAACCUGGGGCUGGAUCACCUCCUUACCUAA